RNAcentral lists this ribosomal RNA (757 nucleotides) under uncultured bacterium. RNAcentral describes it as "bacterial SSU rRNA". It matches the Rfam family "Bacterial small subunit ribosomal RNA", at positions 28 to 775 of the family's 1533-position model. The record is from RNAcentral.
GAUGAACGCUAGCUACAGGCUUAACACAUGCAAGUCGAGGGGCAUCAGGAAGAAAGCUUGCUUUCUUUGCUGGCGACCGGCGCACGGGUGAGUAACACGUAUCCAACCUGCCCUUUACUCGGGGAUAGCCUUUCGAAAGAAAGAUUAAUACCCGAUAGCAUAAUGAUUCCGCAUGGUUUCAUUAUUAAAGGAUUCCGGUAAAGGAUGGGGAUGCGUUCCAUUAGGUUGUUGGUGAGGUAACGGCCCACCAAGCCUUCGAUGGAUAGGGGUUCUGAGAGGAAGGUCCCCCACAUUGGAACUGAGACACGGUCCAAACUCCUACGGGAGGCAGCAGUGAGGAAUAUUGGUCAAUGGGCGCUAGCCUGAACCAGCCAAGUAGCGUGAAGGAUGAAGGCUCUAUGGGUCGUAAACUUCUUUUAUAUAAGAAUAAAGUGCAGUAUGUAUACUGUUUUGUAUGUAUUAUAUGAAUAAGGAUCGGCUAACUCCGUGCCAGCAGCCGCGGUAAUACGGAGGAUCCGAGCGUUAUCCGGAUUUAUUGGGUUUAAAGGGAGCGUAGGUGGACUGGUAAGUCAGUUGUGAAAGUUUGCGGCUCAACCGUAAAAUUGCAGUUGAUACUGUCAGUCUUGAGUACAGUAGAGGUGGGCGGAAUUCGUGGUGUAGCGGUGAAAUGCUUAGAUAUCACGAAGAACUCCGAUUGCGAAGGCAGCUCACUGGACUGCAACUGACACUGAUGCUCGAAAGUGUGGGUAUCAAACAG